AUGGAUCAAAAGUACGUUGAUGUGACAAAAUCUCAAAAUAAGCAUGACAACACCACAGUUAUCCAUCAUUACAAAGUAGAUGUGUUUAAUGUUGCAAUAGAUCAACAAGUGAUAGAGUUGAAUGAUCGAUUCAGUUCUCAAGUAACUGAGCUACUAGAUCUUUGUUCAUCAUUGGACCCGAGGCAUGAUGCCUUUAGCAAAUCAAAGAUAUGCAGACUAGUGGAGAAAUUCUAUCCUGCAGAUUUUUCUAGUCAAGAAAGAGAUCGGUUGGAGUGCGAGCUACCACAUUUCCAGCUUGAUACAUUCAACCAUCCAGAGAUCAAGAACUGUAAAUCACUUGCUGAUCUAACAAAAGGAAUAGUUAAGACUGGCAAGUCUUCUGACUAUCCAAUGGUUGAGAGGUUGUUACGAUUGGUGAUAACUCUCCGGGUGUCAACCGCAACAGCAGAGUGA
This 453-nucleotide ribosomal RNA is filed under the name Triticum aestivum (bread wheat). RNAcentral describes it as "partial small subunit ribosomal RNA". The record is from RNAcentral. Lineage: Eukaryota; Viridiplantae; Streptophyta; Magnoliopsida; Poales; Poaceae.